CUGGUCUCACAUCCGAGCCAAUGUCAUCUUCAUUUCUGUUUCCGUCACUGAGCACCACAAACGGGCAAUUGAUAGGAACAGAGUCUGUCGCCAGGCGCGGUGGCACACACCUGUAAUCCCAGGGGCUCGGGAGGGUGCGGCAGGAGGAUGGCGAACUCAAAGCCAGCCUCCGCAAUGGCGAGGCCCUAAGCAACUCACGAACACGCCGAUUCACAAACGGACACAUGCAUUCACCCCACUAAUCCAUGAAGGGACUCAUCCACUCCCCCACAAAUGGAUUAACCCACUAACCCACCGACUGACUAGUUCACUGAUCUAUAAAUGCACUCAUCCACAAACGACGAUCCCACUAAUCCACGAACGGAGUGACCCAUAAAUAGACCAACCCCCGACCACAAAUAGAUUAGCGCACUAACGCAGUGCGGACUAAUGCGUGAGCACACAGUCCUUAUGUGGAUUAAUCCACUAAUCCGUGAAUGGACUAAUCAGACUCCUCCGCUAAUCCACGAAUGGAUUCGUCCAUUGUCCGCGUGGCCCACUCAUCUCCCAGAGACCCCACCUCCGAACACAAGUGGCUACUGAGUUUGGCAGUUGGGUCUCCAGCACCCGAAUGCUGGGGACACGCACAGCCUAGUCCAGGUCGUAGCCGUCUCUGGGCUAAGGAGAGUCCUUCCUGCAGCUGCGGCAGCGCCUCCUGCGGGAGAAGGAGGUGAAGCUCAGGCGGGCCCUGGAGAGGCUGCGCAGGAAGAGGCAGC
RNAcentral lists this long non-coding RNA (755 nucleotides) under Ictidomys tridecemlineatus (thirteen-lined ground squirrel). Its description in RNAcentral is "lncRNA (ENSSTOG00000033318.1)". Lineage: Eukaryota; Metazoa; Chordata; Mammalia; Rodentia; Sciuridae. The record is from RNAcentral.